GACGAACGCUGGCGGCGUGCCUAAUACAUGCAAGUAGAACGCUGAAGGAGGAGCUUGCUUCUCUGGAUGAGUUGCGAACGGGUGAGUAACGCGUAGGUAACCUGCCUGGUAGCGGGGGAUAACUAUUGGAAACGAUAGCUAAUACGCAUAAUAGUAGAUGUUGCAUGACAUUUGCUUAAAAGGUGCAAUUGCAUCACUACCAGAUGGACCUGCGUUGUAUUAGCUAGUUGGUGGGGUAACGGCUCACCAAGGCGACGAUACAUAGCCCCCUGAGAGGGUGAUCGGCCACACUGGGACUGAGACACGGCCCAGACUCCUACGGGAGGCAGCAGUAGGGAAUCUUCGGCAAUGGACGGAAGUCUGACCGAGCAACGCCGCGUGAGUGAAGAAGGUUUUCGGAUCGUAAAGCUC
RNAcentral lists this ribosomal RNA (411 nucleotides) under Streptococcus mitis. RNAcentral describes it as "bacterial SSU rRNA". It matches the Rfam family "Bacterial small subunit ribosomal RNA", at positions 28 to 433 of the family's 1533-position model. Lineage: Bacteria; Bacillati; Bacillota; Bacilli; Lactobacillales; Streptococcaceae. The record is from RNAcentral.